UACGUAGGUCCCGAGCGUUAUCCGGAUUUAUUGGGUGUAAAGGGUGCGUAGACGGGAUUACAAGUUGGUUGUGAAACCCCUCAGCUCAACUGAGGAACUGCAACCAAAACUAUAAUUCUUGAGUGCAGGAGAGGAAAGUGGAAUUCCUAGUGUAGCGGUGAAAUGCGUAGAUAUUAGGAAGAACACCGGUGGCGAAGGCGACUUUCUGGACUGUAACUGACGUUGAGGCACGAAAGUGUGGGGAGCAAACAGG
RNAcentral lists this ribosomal RNA (253 nucleotides) under uncultured bacterium. Its description in RNAcentral is "partial 16S ribosomal RNA". It matches the Rfam family "Bacterial small subunit ribosomal RNA", at positions 524 to 776 of the family's 1533-position model. The record is from RNAcentral.